Molecule: ribosomal RNA, 467 nt
Filed under: uncultured bacterium
Lineage: Bacteria
Description: bacterial SSU rRNA
Rfam family: Bacterial small subunit ribosomal RNA
Source: RNAcentral
GGGCCCGCACAAGCGGAGGAACAUGUGGUUUAAUUCGAUGAUACGCGAGGAACCUUACCUGGGCUAGAACGGCAGUCUGCUUCUUGGGAGAGACCCCUUGAUUCUUCGGACAGACUGUUGAGGUGCUGCAUGGUUGUCGUCAGCUCGUGCCGUGAGGUGUCGGCUUAAGUGCCAUAACGAGCGCAACCCUUGCUGUCAGUUGCCAUCGGGUCAUGCCGGGCACUCUGGCGGGACUGCCAUCGCAAGAUGUGAGGAAGGUGGGGAUGACGUCAAAUCAGCACGGCCCUUACGUCCAGGGCUACACACGUGUUACAAUGGGAGGAACAGUGGGAUGCCAUCCGGCGACGGAGCGCUGAUCCCUAAACCCUCUCCCAGUUCGGAUUGGAGUCUGCAACCCGACUCCAUGAAGCUGGAUUCGCUAGUAAUCGCGCAUCAGCCAUGGCGCGGUGAAUACGUUCCCGGGCCUU